AUGGCUCAGGACGAACGCUGGCGGCGUGCUUAACACAUGCAAGUCGAGCGAUGAAGCUUCUUCGGAAGUGGAUUAGCGGCGGACGGGUGAGUAACACGUGGGUAACCUGCCUCAUAGAGGGGAAUAGCCUUCCGAAAGGAAGAUUAAUACCGCAUAAGAUUGUAAUAUCGCAUGAUAUAGCAAUUAAAGGAGUAAUCCGCUAUGAGAUGGACCCGCGUCGCAUUAGCUAGUUGGUGAGGUAACGGCUCACCAAGGCGACGAUGCGUAGCCGACCUGAGAGGGUGAUCGGCCACAUUGGGACUGAGACACGGCCCAGACUCCUACGGGAGGCAGCAGUGGGGAAUAUUGCACAAUGGGGGAAACCCUGAUGCCAGCAACGCCGCGUGAGUGAUGACGGUCUUCGGAUUGUAAAGCUCUGUCUUCAGGGACGAUAAUGACGGUACCCGAGGAGGAAGCCACGGCUAACUACGUGCCAGCCGCCGC
This 483-nucleotide ribosomal RNA is filed under the name uncultured bacterium. RNAcentral's name for it is "bacterial SSU rRNA". It matches the Rfam family "Bacterial small subunit ribosomal RNA", at positions 19 to 518 of the family's 1533-position model. The record is from RNAcentral.